Molecule: long non-coding RNA, 243 nt
Filed under: Brassica napus (rape)
Lineage: Eukaryota; Viridiplantae; Streptophyta; Magnoliopsida; Brassicales; Brassicaceae
Description: long non-coding RNA (BNAP_LNC008060)
Source: RNAcentral
AGAAAGAUUAUUCAGCAGAUUUACAUUAGCUCCCCCAGGAGGGCCAGUACGCAAUUGUGGCGUCAUUCCACCAACAACAGGCUUAAUAUCUGGUGCAUUCUCGGCUUUGGUGACCAUUUCUUGAGAGACUGGCGAUGCUGAAGAUGUUUGAACUGAAGGAAUUGCUUGUGUAGCAGGCCGUGCUACGGACGGGAUAUGAGGAAAAGUUGGAACUGCUGCCAUAGAAGAUAUAGUGCCAGGCUC